AGUGUGGUGGAGUCUCCUUCUUUGGAGGUCUUUAAGCAGAGGCUUGACAACCAUAUGUCAGGAGUGCUCUGAUGGUGUUUCCUGCUUGGCAGGGGGUUGGACUCGAUGGCCCUUGUGGUCUCUUCCAACUCUAUGAUUCUAUGAUUCUAGGCUUCUCUUAAGAACUCUCAGCACUCUUAACAAAGAACAGUUCCCAUAAUUCUUUGGAUGGAGCUUUAUUCAUAUCUAUGCUAUGGCCAUUUGAACUGCCUACCGUAAGUAAAUGAAUUGCCCUUUCCUGAUCUUUCUUUGAUAUACUGUACCCAAAUAAUACUAUUUGGGAGUCAUCUGGGAUCUCCCUCUUUCUCUCACACACAUAGAGACUAAAGUGGAUAUCUUCUGGUGAUUGAGAUUGCUUUUAGCAGUGAAAAGCAGGCUAUACGUGUGUGUGUGUGUAUAUAUACAGUGGUACCUCGGGUUACAUACGCUUCAGGUUACAUACGCUUCAGGUUACAGACUCCGCUAACCCAGAAAUAGUACGUCGGGUUAAGAACUUUGCUUCAGGAUGAGAACAGAAAUUGUGCUCCAGCGGCGCGGCAGCAGCGGGAAGCCCCAUUAGCUAAAGUGGUGUUUUAGGUUAAGAACAGUUUCAGGUUAAGAACGGACCUCCGGAACGAAUUAAGUACUUAGCCCGAGGUACCACUGUAUGUGUGUGUGUGUGUAAUAUGGUACAGUGGACGCUCGGGUUGCAAACAUGAUCCAUGCGGGAGGCAUGUUCGCAACCCGCAGCACCCUGUCUGUGCACGUGCGGGUUGCGAUUCAGCACUUCUGCGCAUGAGCAAAGCGUGACUUAGCGCUUCUGCUCAUGCGCGAGCACUGAAACCCGGAAGUAACCCAUUCCGGUACUUCCGGGUUCGGCGCAGUGCGCAACCCAAAAACACACAACCUGAAGCGUCUGUAACCUGAGGUAUGACUGUAUUCUUAAUUACAUAUGUAGGCCUGGCUGAAUAGAUAGGUUUUCAAGUGGUUAAAAGGAGGAACAGAAGGUGCCUGUUGGAGCACCAGUGGCAGAGAGUUCUAGAAGACUUGCCUGAUGACACCAAAGGCUUUGUUCCUUGUUGUGAAAUGAGCCUCAUCAACUUGGAAAAUGACCAGAGGUGCUCUUGCAGAUCAUCUCAGUGUUCAGUCUUUUAAGGCCACACCUGCCAUGAGGCAGAAUACUUUCUGCCCCCGAUCUUACUAUAUGCUCAAAGCAUUUCUAAACUGCUACAUAUUUAGAAUAUCAAAGCACCAUACAAAAGUACAAACAUAAAACAGUGUGAUAAAAGCAGAAAUCUUGUAUCAACAGAUAUUUCUGUAAUCUGCAUGCAUACAUGCAUAAUUAGGUUGCAUUCCUAGCCCCGCUUUCCCAAGAGUAGGCUAAAUCCCAAACUCUGGGAUUUAAUUGUGAGCAGACAUGGUCAGGACUGCACUUGUUAAUCAGUUUAAACUUAUCAGAUUUCUUUAAUUGAGUGACAGCUCUGCCAAGACCUCGCCCUCUGUUAGAUGAGGGUGAUGCCUCAUGCUUCUAAUGUCACACUCGUCUCCAAAAGCCUCUUGCCACAAUAAAUCUGCUAUUUUAUUAUUAAUACAGAUUCUGCUGUAGUCUUCAAAGUGCUGGAAAAUACUGCUUUUUUUCUUCUUCUAUUGCUCAGGAAGUAUUUAACAGCUCAGUCCUGCAGAUGUCUGCUUAGAAGGCAGUGCGAUAGGUUAACGUUUGGCCUCUCCCUCAAGUUUCCACACUUUUGCAAUAGGGGGUUAAUCAUACUGUUCUGUGUCGCAGGAUCUCUGUACGGCUUACAACAAUGUUUGUGAAGCAAACCCGGCGCUCUGAAUUGCUGCAUCAGUGUGAAGUAUUGUAUCCAUCCCUGGAUGCAAAAGUCAAAAGGAAAAUGUGCUGAGAUAAGAAGCGGCUGGCUCUCUCUACUGGUUUCCCUUUUGUGUGUGUGUGUGUCUUUUGUAUUGAAUUAUGCUAGUGUCGUUUCUGAUGGUGUUUGUGUGUGUGGU
This 2025-nucleotide long non-coding RNA is filed under the name Podarcis lilfordi (Lilford's wall lizard). Lineage: Eukaryota; Metazoa; Chordata; Lepidosauria; Squamata; Lacertidae. The record is from RNAcentral.